RNAcentral lists this ribosomal RNA (424 nucleotides) under Bacillota bacterium. Its description in RNAcentral is "Firmicutes bacterium partial 16S ribosomal RNA". It matches the Rfam family "Bacterial small subunit ribosomal RNA", at positions 355 to 776 of the family's 1533-position model. Lineage: Bacteria; Bacillati; Bacillota. The record is from RNAcentral.
UGAGGAAUAUUGGACAAUGGGUGAGAGCCUGAUCCAGCCAUCCCGCGUGAAGGACGACGGCCCUAUGGGUUGUAAACUUCUUUUGUAUAGGGAUAAACCUUUCCACGUGUGGAAAGCUGAAGGUACUAUACGAAUAAGCACCGGCUAACUCCGUGCCAGCAGCCGCGGUAAUACGGAGGGUGCAAGCGUUAUCCGGAUUUAUUGGGUUUAAAGGGUCCGUAGGCGGAUCUGUAAGUCAGUGGUGAAAUCUCAUAGCUUAACUAUGAAACUGCCAUUGAUACUGCAGGUCUUGAGUAAAGUAGAAGUGGCUGGAAUAAGUAGUGUAGCGGUGAAAUGCAUAGAUAUUACUUAGAACACCAAUUGCGAAGGCAGGUCACUAUGUUUCAACUGACGCUGAUGGACGAAAGCGUGGGGAGCGAACAGG